This is a long non-coding RNA of Sinocyclocheilus rhinocerous, 88 nucleotides long. RefSeq lists it as uncharacterized. The record is from RefSeq and is a predicted model, not a curated record. NCBI's taxonomy places the organism in Eukaryota, Metazoa, Chordata, Actinopteri, Cypriniformes, Cyprinidae. The transcript has 3 exons.
GGAUUAUAUUCAUGUUGGGUAUGUAUGAGUUUGAAAAUUCAUGAUUUAAACGUUUCUAUCAUUCAAUACUUUCCGGUUCAGUUGAUCA